This 448-nucleotide ribosomal RNA is filed under the name uncultured bacterium. RNAcentral describes it as "partial 16S ribosomal RNA". It matches the Rfam family "Bacterial small subunit ribosomal RNA", at positions 330 to 792 of the family's 1533-position model. The record is from RNAcentral.
ACCAGACUCCUACGGGAGGCAGCAGUGGGGAAUAUUGGGCAAUGGGCGCAAGCCUGACCCAGCAACGCCGCGUGAAGGAAGAAGGCUUUCGGGUUGUAAACUUCUUUUCUCAGGGACGAAGCAAGUGACGGUACCUGAGGAAUAAGCCACGGCUAACUACGUGCCAGCAGCCGCGGUAAUACGUAGGUGGCAAGCGUUGUCCGGAUUUACUGGGUGUAAAGGGCGUGCAGCCGGGCUGACAAGUCAGAUGUGAAAUCCCGCGGCUCAACCGCGGAACUGCAUUUGAAACUGUCAGUCUUGAGUACCGGAGAGGUCAUCGGAAUUCCUUGUGUAGCGGUGAAAUGCGUAGAUAUUAGGAGGAACACCAGUGGCGAAGGCGGUCUGCUGGACAGCAACUGACGCUGAGGCGCGAAAGCGUGGGGAGCAAACAGGAUUAGAUACCCGAGUA